CCUACGGGAGGCAGCAGUGGGGAAUAUUGCACAAUGGGCGCAAGCCUGAUGCAGCAACGCCGCGUGAGGGACGACGGCCUUCGGGUUGUAAACCUCUUUUAGUAGGGAAGAAGCGAAAGUGACGGUACCUGCAGAAAAAGCACCGGCUAACUCCGUGCCAGCAGCCGCGGUAAU
RNAcentral lists this ribosomal RNA (174 nucleotides) under uncultured bacterium. RNAcentral describes it as "partial 16S ribosomal RNA". It matches the Rfam family "Bacterial small subunit ribosomal RNA", at positions 338 to 524 of the family's 1533-position model. The record is from RNAcentral.